UCCCCGAUUUCCGGGGCAGUCUCCUUAGAGUUCCCGGCAUUACCCGCUGGCAACUAAGGAUAGGGGUUGCGCUCGUUGCGGGACUUAACCCGACAUCUCACGACACGAGCUGACGACAGCCAUGCACCACCUGUGACCGCGCUCCGAAGAGGGACCCUGUUUCCAGGGUUUUCACGGACAUGUCAAGCCCAGGUAAGGUUCUUCGCGUUGCUUCGAAUUAAGCCACAUGCUCCGCCGCUUGUGCGGGCCCCCGUCAAUUCCCUUGAGUUUUAGCCUUGCGGCCGUAGUCCCCAGGCGGGGUGCUUAACGCGUUAGCUUCGACACGGAGACCGUGAACUGGUCCCCACAUCUAGCACCCAUCGUUUACGGCAUGGACUAC
This 379-nucleotide unclassified non-coding RNA is filed under the name uncultured Actinomycetes bacterium. Its description in RNAcentral is "uncultured actinobacterium contains 16S-23S intergenic spacer region". The record is from RNAcentral. Lineage: Bacteria; Bacillati; Actinomycetota; Actinomycetes.